RNAcentral lists this non-coding RNA (173 nucleotides) under marine eukaryotic metagenome. RNAcentral describes it as "6S / SsrS RNA". It matches the Rfam family "6S / SsrS RNA". Rfam says of the family: E. coli 6S RNA was the first non coding RNA to be sequenced, but its function was unknown until recently. The record is from RNAcentral.
CCCUGGGAUGUUUGCAUGUUUGGUACGUCCCUGAGCCGAUAAGCAAACCUUUAGGAACCUCCUUUGGUAUUGUUGUGCAUGUCCGCCAGACGGGAAGCCUGAUAUAUCAAUUGAGUCUCCGCCUUGAACCCAAUGGUUCAAGGACAACAUCGGACAGCGGCAUUCCCGGGGCU